GUCGACAUAUAAAUACGAGGGUCACUCUGGUGGCGAGGAAUCCACAUCCAAGGAGACACAUUGAGGCGAUUUCACUCUUUGCUGACCUUUAGAGUAAAGAUGAUGGUGAAGGUGGUAAUGCUCUUGGUGAUUGUUGCGGUGGCGUCUGCUACAAUACAAACCAUCGAACAUGGCAAUCCUUACGAUGCAGCGAUGAAUAGUGGACAUCCAGUGAUUGGCGACAACUACGACUUUCCAUGGAAGCGUCACGAACACCGUCCGAUGAAGUGUUACUGCAGAUGGAUCUAUACAUAAACUGGGAGUACGGAUGAAUUAUAUGGAAGGGUAAACUCGUCAUAAACCAAAACCCAACGUAACGUCAUUAUAAAAACGUGUAAACAGAGCUAUUAUCGUGGUGUGUGUUUGGCUCUCUUUUUACAGUUUAUUUACAUCUUUAUCUUACUAUGAGAGUAGGCUGAAUUUAGUCUGGACAACCCCAUCUGAAUGUAGUUUUAUCCAUUUUUGUUGAAACUUCUCAGAUGUAGUCAGCAUCGGCAAAGUUGUUGUCUGCCUCAAAUCUUUUGUAGAUUCAUAACAUAUGAACAAUAAAGGUCGUGCAUCAGUGUGUACUGUUUGCUGCUAUUUCGCCCAUUUUUUAUUUCCAUUUUUUUUUUCAGAUUACAAUUCUGACAGAUCCAAAUCCGCAUGAAGAUGCAUAAUUUGACAACAAAAGUAACAUUCGUAUCUUAGAGAUUUAUUAAUCAUGAAUAAAAGCUUGCAAUACAA
Pecten maximus is the source of this 765-nucleotide long non-coding RNA. RefSeq lists it as uncharacterized. The record is from RefSeq and is a predicted model, not a curated record. Lineage: Eukaryota; Metazoa; Mollusca; Bivalvia; Pectinida; Pectinidae. The transcript is spliced from 3 exons.